This is a long non-coding RNA of Stegastes partitus (bicolor damselfish), 1620 nucleotides long. RefSeq lists it as uncharacterized. The record is from RefSeq and is a predicted model, not a curated record. Lineage: Eukaryota; Metazoa; Chordata; Actinopteri; Pomacentridae. The transcript has 2 exons.
CUUACACAAGAUAGCAGAAAAGACUUUAGAGUCUUGGGAAACAAAAGAAAAUAUUGAUCUGCUUUUAACCUGAAAUUGCCUCUCAUGACCACAGUUACAUCGACUCACUCAGUGCUGUACAAAAAAUAAAUAAAUAAAUAAAAAUAAAAGGAAAAAAGAGUGUAUGCAGUAUGAAGCACCAUGGAUGAGAAAAAUGCAGUUGAUGGACAGAACAGAAACUUGGAAAUAAUAAUUGCUCCGUAUACUAAAAACUAUUAGGAUACUAUAUAAAAGUUGAAUUAUUUUUCUCCUUCAGAUCUUCUUCACAAACUAAUGGUUAUGCCUUUUGUGUAAGUAAGCAAGAUGUUCAGCAAGGAAAGGCUGUUCAAGUACCACUUUAUCACUUUAUGCACCUCAUAACUACAUGGCAUUGUCAUUAUAUCAUUAUAUUAUAGAGGAAGAAAAUAUUCUCAUAAGUAUACUACUCCGUGUCAGUGAAAAUGUACAAAAUGUGCAGUGACGCAAAAAGAGCCAAGCACUGCAAACAGUCAUAUUUAUCUUGGUGCAAACUGCUUCUAUAACCAUGACCAUUUUGCAGCAUAUCAACAAUUAUCUGUUCCCUAAUGUCGACACACAUAGCAACUAAUAGGCUACAGUGGCACUUGAAAGAUGGUGAAUCCUUUUCUAUAUAUUUGCAUAAAUAUGACUGAAAAUAUCUGUCACGCCUGCUGCUGCCAGGGCCAGAUAGCGGCAGUCCUCGCUCUCUCUCCCUCCUCUCCUCCUUUCUCACUCUCCCUUUCCCUCUCUAAUUAGGUGGGCGUGAGCUGGUGCAGUGACUGAGGAGGACGGGCAGGUGAUUGCAAUCUGCUGAUGACGCAGGCGUGUGUUGGCUGCAGCUGUGCCUCAUCCACAGACCAGCAUUUAAGCCGCGCUCAAUCCACAACUCGUCGCCGGACCAGAAACACUCCUCACCCGGAUCAUCUGCCACCAUCACCAAACCACUCCGUCAGCCGGCGACUCCUGCCACAAGGAAUCGGAUUCUCCCUCACCUACCUGCCACCUGUCAGUUUUCUUCUGCUCGUCCGUUCCGACGCCACUCCUCAGCCACGUCUCCACCUGCCUCCCCAUCGCGGAAUCGGCGACGCCAACACUCUCCACCUCCCAGACUCCUCUUCCAUACCCUCCUCCUUGCUUCCCCUCUCUCCUCGUUCAGCUCCAGUAGGGUCUGGUUCAGCUCAGUGAUUUGUCAGCCAGUAUCGUAAGUCCAGCAGCCUCAUUAGAGCCGGUUACCCUGCUAGUUAAUAUGUACCACUAGCCUUGGAGUUAGCAGUUUGUCGGUCUGUCUGCAUGUAGCGCUAGACCUGUUGAUAGCAUUUUGUUUGCCAGCUCGUUUCUUACGAUUGAGCUUCUCGUUAGCACCUCCUGGUGUUCUUCCUUCGUUACUUCUCUUGUUUACAUUGGUCUGAGUUUUUGUUUCAUCUGCUUACGGUUCCUGAUUCGGUGGUACCGAAAUCGGGUACGUACCCCUUAGUUUCAGUCAUUCAGCCUGACCACUAGUAGGCGUAGUUUGCUCUGCCAGCAACAUUGUGAGUUUGUACUUUAUGUGUGUGUAUAAAUAAACCAUUUGUUUUAUCAACCUGA